RNAcentral lists this ribosomal RNA (400 nucleotides) under uncultured bacterium. Its description in RNAcentral is "bacterial SSU rRNA". It matches the Rfam family "Bacterial small subunit ribosomal RNA", at positions 355 to 746 of the family's 1533-position model. The record is from RNAcentral.
UGGGGAAUUUUGCGCAAUGGGCGAAAGCCUGACGCAGCGACGCCGCGUGAGGGAAGAAGGUUUUCGGAUCGUAAACCUCUGUCGGGGGGGAAGAAACUCCCGGUGGCUAACAUCCAUCGGGAUUGACGGUACCCCCUAAGGAAGCAUCGGCUAACUACGUGCCAGCAGCCGCGGUAAUACGUAGGAUGCAAGCGUUGUUCGGAAUUAUUGGGUGUAAAGGGCGCGUAGGUGGCCUGAUAAGUCAUGGGUGAAAUCCCUCGGCUCAACUGAGGAAUUGCCCAUGAUACUGUCGGGCUUGAGUACGGGAGAGGGAAGUGGAAUUCCUGGUGUAGCGGUGAAAUGCGUAGAUAUCAGGAGGAACACCGGUGGCGAAGGCGGCUUCCUGGACCGAUACUGACAC